CAUGGCUAUCCGGGAUGCAGGUUUUGAAAUCUCAGCUAUGCAGAUGUUCAACAUGGAUCGAGUUAAUGUUGAAGAGUUUUAUGAAGUUUAUAAAGGAGUAGUGUCUGAGUAUAAUGAGAUGGUGACAGAAAUGUAUUCUGGCCCUUGCGUAGCAAUGGAGAUUCAAC
Molecule: long non-coding RNA, 167 nt
Organism: Neomonachus schauinslandi (Hawaiian monk seal)
Lineage: Eukaryota; Metazoa; Chordata; Mammalia; Carnivora; Phocidae
Exons: 3
Source: RefSeq, a predicted model, not a curated record